Lupinus albus (white lupine) is the source of this 607-nucleotide non-coding RNA. Lineage: Eukaryota; Viridiplantae; Streptophyta; Magnoliopsida; Fabales; Fabaceae. The record is from the annotation of a GenBank genome assembly.
UUUUAACAAGAAGUUUAUAUGGUCAACAAUGACAAAGAAAGAAGAAGAAAUAAAGUGUUCCAUAGGUAUAUUAUCCUUUACAUGAGGUAUAUAAGGUUGAAUCCGGAACCAUAUAUGAUGGCUCUUUAUAACAAUGAAUUUAUGAUAAUCUGAAUUGGUUAUAGAAAGGAGAAGAGCAUUAGUAACAUUCCAGGUCACACUCAAAGGAAUAUCCAAAUAGCAUCUAACUAACUUUUGUACAUUUGCAUAUAUGUGCCACCUCAAAUUAUUACAAGUUUCACAUGGAACAAAGAGAUUGGGACCCGUGAUUCUGUGGAAGUCUCACUCUCACUCUCAUACUGACUAGUGGCACUAGACAAAAGUAGAGAAAGAUUCAUUAUAUCUACAUUGGUGCAGAGAACAACUUCCCUUACGGCACUCUACACUCAAAAUCCAACCUUGACCUUUCAUGUCGAAAAGGUAUCUGUGUUGGGCUAAAAGUCAUGUACCAUCACCCUUUCUUCAUCUGCGCCAUCUCCACCUCAUGUAUUGAGAAGGAACAGUGAUGCUGGAAUUCGACGAAGGAGAUAAAGGAUUGGGGAUUUAGGGAUUUCACUUCCCCUCUCCC